CCUACGGGAGGCUGCAGUGGGGAAUAUUGGACAAUGGGGGAAACCCUGAUGCAGCGACGCCGCGUGAGUGAAGAAGUAUUUCGGUACGUAAAGCUCUAUCAGCAGGGAAGAAAAUGACGGUACCUGACUAAGAAGCCCCGGCUAACUACGUGCCAGCAGCCGCGGUAAUACGUAGGGGGCAAGCGUUAUCCGGAUUUACUGGGUGUAAAGGGAGCGUAGACGGCAGCGCAAGUCUGGAGUGAAAUCUCAGGGCUUAACCAUGGAACUGCAUUGGAAACUGUGCAGCUAGAGUGCAGGAGAGGUAAGCGGAAUUCCUAGUGUAGCGGUGAAAUGCGUAGAUAUUAGGAGGAACACCAGUGGCGAAGGCGGCUUACUGGACUGUAACUGACGUUGAGGCUCGAAAGCGUGGGGAGCAAACAGGAUUAGAUACCCUGGUAGUC
This 440-nucleotide ribosomal RNA is filed under the name uncultured bacterium. Its description in RNAcentral is "partial 16S ribosomal RNA". It matches the Rfam family "Bacterial small subunit ribosomal RNA", at positions 338 to 795 of the family's 1533-position model. The record is from RNAcentral.